Molecule: long non-coding RNA, 2895 nt
Filed under: Triticum aestivum (bread wheat)
Lineage: Eukaryota; Viridiplantae; Streptophyta; Magnoliopsida; Poales; Poaceae
Description: long non-coding RNA (TAES_LNC024926)
Source: RNAcentral
ACAUUUUUUUGGGAAGGUUCUUUCGAUGGUUUUUUUGUGUGUGGAAGUUCUUUCGAUGGUUGUUUUCUUUUGAUAAUCGUUGUUCUUUGUAUGGCCAGACAGUUUCCAGGUGGUUCACAUUUUUACAGGAGGCACAUGCUUUUGUUCAUCUUGCUUCUUGGUAAUACAUUUUGUUGUUGUUUUGGCAUGUACAAGAUGUGAAUUUAUUAGUGUUGCUUCAGAGUGAGUCUGGACCAUGCUGGUUCUAAUAAUGUGUUCUUUGAUGCUUCUGCGGGUUGUAUAUUUUUACAUGCUCAGUGUGGGUAAACACAUGGAGUUUUUCUAUCUCUCUUGACUUCUCACUUUAACUUUUCGGGACAUGAACAUUAAAGUUACCAUGGCUACCAUAAAAAGGCAUAUUAUGGCCUAAUAAACUCUUAGUUGCAUUGUAUAUAGUACUGAUGAUAUGCUUUCUAUCUGUCCUAAUGUAAUUCAGGAAAUUUCUUUGCAAGGAAAAAUAUUAUCUAUAGUUAAAAGAUACAAUUCUUAUUGUGGAGAUCAACAUGUUCUUGUUAUAUCAUUUUCUGAAGUAGCUACCUCUUGAAAUACAAAUGUAGUAGGGUCAAUAAAUUUUUGGAUGAGAAGUGUAUGUUUAGAGUUGCUAAAUAAGUUUACAUACCAUCGACUCUUCAUAAAUCAAGUGUAUUGUUCCUUGAUUUACUAGAAGAAAAUACAGUAUAUGUCAUGGAGUCAUCUUAUUGAGACUUUUCUUCCGCAGAUACUAUAGAUGCUUUGUGAGAGGAUGCUUCUACUGGAGACCAUGAUCCAGUCCAAUGAUUUAUCCGGCAAGGAGGUGAGCUCACAUGUAAACAUGUGUUUGUUUAAGACACUAAAAAAAACACCCAUCUUCUGAAAUGCUUUCCUCUAUUGUCGUAAUUGAAGGAAAAAUCUAAUGUAUUUCUAGAAUUUGUUAAUGUGAUCAGAAUUAUGAAUAGGAAGUAUAUUGUGUCAUUAUUAUAGAAUGGAGCUCUGAUUUUAAUAUACAAGGUAAGCUCAUGGAAAUGUAAAUAAUAAUUCAACAUUCAAAUUCUUCAUGCCAACCUGAAACUUGGAACACAACAGAAUUCAGUGAACUCACUCUAAACAAAUUUUGUGAUGGUGUCCGCAUUCACUGGUCGCACAAUGCAGGAGAAGCAUUGUUGGGGUCCUCAUUGUCACCAAGGGGAUGCAACCUACAUCAAUCGUGUAGAGAUCCACUGAUGUGUCCGUGCCCAUGUUGUGCUUCACCGAGCUUCAGGAAAAAUAAUCUAUUUCUGGGAUUAGUCCUCAACAAGCAAGAAGAAGUGCCAUCACUGGUAUGAAACCCAUGCCAGGGGAAGGGAUUCCAUCACUGCCUUUUGAUCAGCAAGUGUAAUCUCCAGUGAUGAUCGUCCCUGUUCAGCAUUCAUCAACAGAAUGCCAUCUUCAGUGCCCCUCUCUAGGCCCUCACUCUGAAUUCUUUCGGUUUUAAGUAAGGAAACAAUCUAUAUGCAUCUAAACAAUUUUUUUCCAAUUUAUUGCUGCUUUGCUAUGACACUGUUUCUAGAUCUUGUUCAUAGUGUUCGAGUUUACAUAGUCUCAGUAUUCACUGAAUAAUAUGAGAGGAUUGGUUGAUGCUACAUAUACAGCCAAGUUUCUACACACUUGCAUCAGUUUGCAGAUAUUUCCAGUUAAAAGAUUGUACUCUGCUCUGAGCUGGGCAUUCUAUUUCUCUGUAAAAAAAUUGCUUGCUUUGUUUGUCAACCCUUGCUUAUUUAUUUUUUGUUCGUUUUGGAUGCAGUAGGUGCCCUCCCUCCAUGGACGAGGAGGACAUUGACCUAGACCUUGACGACGACGUCGUCCACCCCACACAAGGUCGUUGCCACGCAAUAAACUUCUUUUCUUCUUCCAUUCCAAGUUACCUCUGCUCUGUUUCUGCAAUAGACUCAUUGUUCACUAGCUAUAGAUCCCUAUGUUGUUGUUGGUGGUGGUUGGCGAGGUGACGCUGGAAGGCGCGGAGGCGUCGUCGACGAAAGAGAAAAAGAAGAGGACAUACCGUACAGCUGCCCACCACUGCUCACCUCGAUGGCUCGACCACCUCUGCUGUGCCGCAGACGACACAGGGGGAGGCCGAGGUGAUCAUCGACGGUGCUCACCCCGACCCCAUUGGGAUCUAGGGGAAGGGGCUAUGGCGGCAGCGGCACUGGGAGAGGCGGCGGCACUGGGAGAGGCAGCGGCGCUCGGAGAGGAGGCACCUACUUUAUUUCUACUUCUACUUUUCUUCUGCACCUAUAGUUUCAAUGCUUUAUCUGCUCGUGGAGCUAUGCUUCUGUUGCAUUGGGCUAAGGUUUGAUUGCUUGAAGGUGUAUGUCAAGGUGUAAGUGCAGACUCAUUGUUGAUGAUGAAUACUGUGGAGUAAGAAUGAUCUGGCUCAGCAAUUUUCUGGUUCAGGUCGUUGACAUAUUCGGGUUCUAGGUCACAUAAAUAAAAUUUAGAGUUAAUUGAUCUGGCUCAGCAAUUUUCUGCAUUAGAUAUCUUUUUAUGCUUAGUUUUUUUUUGUGAAUUCUACAAUUUGUAGCUUUGUGCUAAACUGACAUUUUUUAGUCAACCUACAUUCCUGGAUGUUUUCAAAUUGAUAAUAUUUUCGUAAGUUUAGGUUUGCACUUGGCUUUAUUAGAAUUAGAAUAUAGAAAAUGUGUUGGAGAAGUGCCUAUUUUGAAGAUUCAUUGCUUUAACCAUUUGUUUUUAUGAAAUAAUAUUCAGUCAGUUUAAAAUUAUUUUCAUGUAGAUUGGAUUUUGUUAUAGGAACACUCAAAGAAACUAAAGUUUGAUCAUGGAAAGGUCCAACUUAAAUUUAUUUAUUUGUAUUAACAAACUUUUCAGUGAUCAUAAUUUAAU